RNAcentral lists this ribosomal RNA (416 nucleotides) under uncultured bacterium. RNAcentral's name for it is "bacterial SSU rRNA". It matches the Rfam family "Bacterial small subunit ribosomal RNA", at positions 32 to 426 of the family's 1533-position model. The record is from RNAcentral.
AAUCAACGCUGGCGGCGUGCCUAACACAUGCAAGUCGAACGCGAAAGGGGGCUUCGGCUCCUGAGUAGAGUGGCGUCCGGGUGAGUAACACGUAGGUAAUCUGCCUUCGGGUGGGGAAUAACCAGUCGAAAGAUUGGCUAAUACCGCAUAAUGCAGCGGCACCUAAUGGUGAUUAGUUGUUAAAGCGGGGGAUCGCAAGACCUCGCGCCUGAAGAGGAGCCUGCGGCAGAUUAGCUAGUUGGUGAGGUAAUGGCUCACCAAGGCUUCGAUCUGUAGCUGGUCUGAGAGGACGGCCAGCCACACUGGCACUGACACACGGGCCAGACUCCUACGGGAGGCAGCAGUGGGGAAUUUUGGGCAAUGGGCGCAAGCCUGACCCAGCAACGCCGCGUGAGGGAGGAAAUCCUUCGGGAUGU